AUUGCGUUAGGACCAGGGGAUAGGGGCGCGAUGGGGAACGGGACCCAAUGAAUGAACAGGGCGCGGUGGAGGACAGGGUGCCGUGGAAGAACUGGGUGCAAUGGAGGAACAGGGAGGGAGGACGCGGUGGGAAACGAGAAUAAGGGCGUCAUGGAGAACAGAGUUGGGAGCGGAGGUGGAAAACGGGAUGUGGUGGAGGAACAGGACAGAGAGAGCGCUAUUUGGGACUUGCGUACGGACGCUGCCUACUUUAUUUUCUUUUUUCCGUGUGAUGCGGGUGGAAGCCUCAGCGUCCGGACACGCUGCUAGCGCCGGACGUCCGGGCACUAGCAAUACCGUAUUACAUAUGUGC
Molecule: long non-coding RNA, 352 nt
Filed under: Sorghum bicolor (sorghum)
Lineage: Eukaryota; Viridiplantae; Streptophyta; Magnoliopsida; Poales; Poaceae
Description: long non-coding RNA (SBIC_LNC001609)
Source: RNAcentral